RNAcentral lists this ribosomal RNA (477 nucleotides) under uncultured bacterium. RNAcentral describes it as "bacterial SSU rRNA". It matches the Rfam family "Bacterial small subunit ribosomal RNA", at positions 365 to 832 of the family's 1533-position model. The record is from RNAcentral.
UUCGCAAUGCCCGAAAGGGUGACGAAGCGACGCCGCGUGCGGGAAGAAGGCCUUCGGGUUGUAAACCGCUGUCGGGAGUUAAGAAAUGUAAGGAUGUUAAUAGCAUCUUUGCUUGACUAAGGCUCCGGAGGAAGCCACGGCUAACUCUGUGCCAGCAGCCGCGGUAAUACAGAGGCGGCAAGCGUUGUUCGGAAUUAUUGGGCGUAAAGAGCACGUAGGCGGCUAUGUAAGUCGGUUGUGAAAGCCUUCCGCUCAACGGGAGAACAGCAUCCGAUACUGCAUGGCUUGAGUGCGGGAGGGGAGAGUGGAACUUCUGGUGGAGCGGUGAAAUGCGUAGAUAUCAGAAGGAACGCCGGCGGCGAAAGCGGCUCUCUGGCCCAUGACUGACGCUGAGUGUGCGAAAGCUAGGGGAGCAAACGGGAUUAGAUACCCCGGUAGUCCUAGCCGUAAACGAUGGGCACUAAGUAGAGGGGUUUU